Molecule: ribosomal RNA, 450 nt
Filed under: uncultured bacterium
Lineage: Bacteria
Description: bacterial SSU rRNA
Rfam family: Bacterial small subunit ribosomal RNA
Source: RNAcentral
GUGGGGAAUUUUGGACAAUGGGGGCAACCCUGAUCCAGCCAUGCCGCGUGAGUGAAGAAGGCCUUCGGGUUGUAAAGCUCUUUCGGCGGGAACGAAAAGGCCAUCUCUAAUACGGGUGGUCGAUGACGGUACUCGCAGAAGAAGCACCGGCUAACUACGUGCCAGCAGCCGCGGUAAUACGUAGGGUGCGAGCGUUAAUCGGAAUUACUGGGCGUAAAGCGUGCGCAGGCGGCUUUUUAAGCCAGACGUGAAAUCCCCGGGCUCAACCUGGGAAUGGCGUUUGGGACUGGAAGGCUUGAGUGCGGCAGAGGGAGGUGGAAUUCCUGGUGUAGCAGUGAAAUGCGUAGAUAUCAGGAGGAACACCGAUGGCGAAGGCAGCCUCCUGGGCCAGCACUGACGCUCAAGCACGAAAGCGUGGGGAGCAAACAGGAUUAGAUACCCGUGUAGUCC